GUCUUAGCUUGCUAAGGCCGAUGGCGACCGGCGCACGGGUGAGUAACACGUAUCCAACCUGCCGUCUACUCUUGGACAGCCUUCUGAAAGGAAGAUUAAUACAAGAUGGCAUCAUGAGUCCGCAUGUUCACAUGAUUAAAGGUAUUCCGGUAGACGAUGGGGAUGCGUUCCAUUAGAUAGUAGGCGGGGUAACGGCCCACCUAGUCUUCGAUGGAUAGGGGUUCUGAGAGGAAGGUCCCCCACAUUGGAACUGAGACACGGUCCAAACUCCUACGGGAGGCAGCAGUGAGGAAUAUUGGUCAAUGGGCGAGAGCCUGAACCAGCCAAGUAGCGUGAAGGAUGACUGCCCUAUGGGUUGUAAACUUCUUUUAUAAAGGAAUAAAGUCGGGUAUGCAUACCCGUUUGCAUGUACUUUAUGAAUAAGGAUCGGCUAACUCCGUGCCAGCAGCCGCGGUAAUACGGAGGAUUCGAGCGUUAUCCGGAUUUAUUGGGUUUAAAGGGAGCGUAGAUGGAUGUUUAAGUCAGUUGUGAAAGUUUGCGGCUCAACCGUAAAAUUGCAGUUGAUACUGGAUAUCUUGAGUGCAGUUGAGGCAGGCGGAAUUCGUGGUGUAGCGGU
Molecule: ribosomal RNA, 616 nt
Filed under: uncultured Bacteroidales bacterium
Lineage: Bacteria; Pseudomonadati; Bacteroidota; Bacteroidia; Bacteroidales
Description: bacterial SSU rRNA
Rfam family: Bacterial small subunit ribosomal RNA
Source: RNAcentral